Lactuca sativa (garden lettuce) is the source of this 6793-nucleotide non-coding RNA. NCBI's taxonomy places the organism in Eukaryota, Viridiplantae, Streptophyta, Magnoliopsida, Asterales, Asteraceae. The record is from RefSeq and is a predicted model, not a curated record.
ACCGUUGAAGUGGGAAGUUGAAGGGUUCGGUUGGGUCGGUGUAUUGGCGCUUGAUAUAACCUUUUUCUUCUUUUGCUAUUCAUUCAUCCCCCUCGCUGCUCUCCAAACACCGCCGGAGACUCAUACUGCUCUCUAUAUAUAUCCGCUCCCCUGAGACCCAAGAACCAUCAUCCUUCACCGGACACUCACAACCAUGUCGAGGGGACCAUCGUUCACACCACCUUCUUCUCUUCUUCUUGUAGCGACACCACCGUUUCCUCCUUUCUUCUUUCAUUAAUUCAUUCCCCGGCGUUCAAGAACCCUAUGCGUUUCACUCUUCGUCUCUUAGUUAUUUUCAAUUAGGCCAAGAUUUUUCAGUGGUGUCUUCCUUACUGGAUUCAUCGGGCUAUUGGGUUGUACCUUUAUGCUUUAUAGUUGUAUAACGUCUGGUUGCGAUCUUUCCCUCUGAUUUCCAGGUAGUGUCUUUGUUUGUUUAAUUGGUUGUAUUUUUUUCAAUAAUGACGUGACGUGCUUUAGGCCCAGUGCAUGGGAAACUUUUAUAUCAUGAAGCUGUUUUUUUCUAAGCAUACUUCAUCAUUGCUAAAAGUAUCAACGACUAUACCCAAGGAUCUACUAGAACUAUACCAAAGGUAACCUAAUCCAAAGCAUCCAUCAAACAAAUGUGAUUCGUCAACAAGUGGUGAUGUCGGUAAAAAUUUAAAUAGUUUUGAAACCCAAAAUAGUAAUGUUUAGUUGUAGAUUGUUCUUUUUGUGCACUUUAGGUGUUUGAUGAAAUGUCUUGGUAAAGUUAAAAAGUUGUUUUGCUUUGUUUUUAGGGUUAAAGUGUUCAUGGAUUAAAUUUUGUAGAGAGAAGUAAAUAAUCACAAGCCAAAUUAAAAUAUGAAACAACUUACUGAGUGAGGUAUUAGAGAUUCAACUAGGAAAAGAUAAUUUAUUGUUUGUAUUUUUAACUCAAUUAGGAUGAACUUGGCGAACCAACUAUUGUAUAAUUUGCAUAUUUGAAAGUUCUUUGUUAUGUCAAAAGAGUGUAUCCUGAUUUUUUUUUUUUUUAAUUUUUUUUUUUUUGUAUAUGUGUGAUGUUCUCUCUGUUUUUGAAUAUCAUUGUGUGAUAUGUAGAUGAUAAGAAAAAGAUUAAGCUGUGUUUGAAUCAAAAAGUUGGAUCACAUGAGUUAAAAUAAACCCAAAAGCAUGUUUACAGCUCCUUCUAGUCCACCAUCAAACCAGUAGAAGAGUAGUAAGGGACUAUGUCCUCCACUCCUACUGCAAUUCAUUUAAAAAACUAUGUCUUUAUUGUUUAAUUUUUUAAUUGAAGUUGUUUUUUUUAUUAUUAUAAAGAAGAAGCAGAUGCAUAGUUUGUGUAGACAAGAAACUACUUAAUCCUACAGGCUCGACUACAAAAGUUCAAACUGCAUCAGAUGUUGGACAACCGAAUGUUGAGGUAUAAAGUUAUUUGCUUAGAUGUUCACAACAUUCAUCCCAUGUUGCAAUGCUUUCCUAUUUAGUAACUUGUUUAUUUGAGAAUUUUGUGAAAAAAACUUAAACUUUUUUUUGUAAAAACCUCUUCAUUCAGCUGUGAUGUGUGAACAAGAAAGCAUCUUAUUGUUGUUACCUUUUAGCUAAAAUAGUUUUAUUGUAAGAAAGUAUGGAUAUCAUCUCAUUCUAUCUUGUGAUCUGUACAAGAAAUGGCAUUGGUCCAUAAGUGUAGCUGAUUGUUUUUCAAUUGUGGUCCUUAUUUGAGGUUUGUAAAAACUUUGAACGAAAUUAGAUUAGUAGGAGAAGAUUGUCAAAUCAAUGUACAUGAAUAGUUGAUACUUUUUACACAUGAGGUUAAUUUUGGGGGUUAUGUUUUGAAGGAUUUUAUAUUGAUUUGUUCAAUCAUCAAAUUGAGAGACAUUUUUUUUAUCAACUCUAGAUUUUCAUUUUCAUAUACACAUUAUUAAUGUAAACCUAUCUCCUCUUCUUUUGCUCUACAUUUCAUCGCCUUAGUUACUAAUUCAGGAAAGUGGAAUGUUUGUACCUUACUGUGUAAGCAUCUACUGUCUACAUUAUAUAUACUUUCUUCACUAAAACUGUAAAUAUUUGGUAAAAAACAUCAAUAGCUUGCUUCCACUAUAGGUAUAUGCAUCCAAAACCUUCAGAGAUGGAGCUAUUAGAGAGUAUGUUAAGGCGGAUUCGGAUUGGGUACAAAUAAAUUUAUCUGAAUUUUGUAUAGAUACAAAUGGAAGCCACAUCUCAUUGGUUAUGUAUGUCACUUGUAUACUAAUUUCUCCCUUUCUACACACAAUGUCUUGUAAUUUUCUCCCUUUAAUACUUUUAAAUGGUUAAAAUAUUGAUUAGUUGCUAAUUACAGUUGCUGAGCUUUUUGCUAAUCUAUCUUUAUAGGGUAAUAUUACAUGCUUGGUCCCUGAGUGUAGCUGAUUUUUUUCAUUUUUGGUCAUUUUUUGAGGUUUGUAACGUUUUUUUAAUCUUGUUCAAAGUAAAAUGGCAUGAGUAGUUGAUAUGUUUCAUACAAGAAUGAAGUUAGUUUAAAAGGAGAAGAUUAUAAGACAUGAGUAGUUGAUACAUGGGGUUAAUUUUGGGGAUUAUGUUUUGAAGGAUACUCAUGAAGGUUAGCUCUACUUUUGAUCACCAUAGUUACUAAUCAUUAUUAUACUGUCAAAGUUUUAAAUCGUCUUUUUUUUUUUUUUUUUUUUAUUUAUUUAAUUCUUAGAAACAUCCAUAUAUUAAAUCGUCUUUCUUUACGCUUCAAAUGUAUUAAACUGUUGUAAAUGGUCAUGAAAUUAGAGUAUGUAUGUUUGAUGUUUAUAUAAUUAUUGUUGAAUCGGAAUCCUUUCCAUUUUCUGUUAUCCAUACACAUGAUGAAUUUUAUCUCCUUUGACAAAUUCCAUUCAUUACUCUGCAACAAGAAAAGGUUUUAGAAACUAAAUAAAGAAGUUAUGAUAGAGAAAUGUAAAAAAAGAGGCCCCUGAGAAUCAAAGUGUAUGCUUUUACCCUUAACACUAUAAAGCCCCUCAUGUUUUUUUAUUAGUUUUGUUAUUGUUAUUGUUAAAAGGUACACCUUUAGUUCCAUUGAAUCUCAAAGAAGGUUGUUGGGUUAUUUGCCUUUAUGGAAACGAUAUGCAGGUGUACAGGAAAGAUGAAGUUGUAUUGCAUUUAGCCCCAAAAGAAUGUUUAGAGCUUGUUGUAGUCCAUCAUCAAACCAGUAGAAGGGACUCUUUCCCUCCCUCCUGCUGCCACUACAUAACUUCAAAUUGCAUGAGAUGUUCGACAACCAACUGUUAAGGUAUAGAUUAAUAAUCUGUAAGUUUUUUUACCUAAUUAUCUUGUUGUAAGAGUUUAAAUUUUAUCAUUUUAAAAUUAUUUAUUUAUUUGCCCCUACAGCCAGAUUUUGUCUCAACAUGGUUCUUUUAUUUUCUAACCAUCACCCUUUUCUUCUACCAAAACCAGAUUAUGUUUUUUGCUACAAUAUUGAUGAGAAACAUAAAGCAGGAUGGAUUUGAAGGAAUUGAUUAAAAUCUUAACACUAUCAAAUCCUUUAUUUAUUCUUCCUUCUAUCUUGACUGACUUAAGCUAUUUUCCUGUUUUACCCUUUAUUGGGUCUUCUAGACAAAACAUAUUGGACUCUUUCUUUAAUGGUAUUUGGGUCAAUCAAUCAAUUCUCAAUUAGUAUCGUUACUCCUGCCAUAAAAAAAGUUUUGUCCUCAAGACUUGAAACAAGAAUGACUAGAUGCAUCUUGAAGAAGGAAGAAAAUUCCAACUUGUGCUUUUUUUUUUUCAACUCUACCAAAAUUAAAUAUUUUCUUAUCUUAAAUGGAACUUAUUCCUUUUCCUACAAAUGUUGUUGGUGGAAGUCUUCUUGAAAUUAUGUUCUUUCCCUAAAGUGUGUAAAAAACUCUAAGGUCUCAAAUUGGUUAAAAUGCCAAUUGUUUCACUAUUAUUUUGUUCUGAUACUGCCCAAUCCAUGCUUAUUUCAGUUAUAUAUAUAUAUAUAUAUAUAUAUAUAUACACACACACAUUAUGAUAAUAUUGUACUUAAAAAGAGAAGCUUGUUUAAUGCUGCAUUGAUGCUCAAUUAGGUGUGUGAUUAUUGCAGUCUGAGAGAAAAAGAGAAGCUUGUUUAGUGUUGUACUUUCAACCUUUUCUUAUCAAGAAAAUGUAUGUCAAAAAAUCUUCUCUCUCUCUCUCUCUCUCUCUGUAGUUAGUUUUUAUAGUUUGUUCAUUAUAGCAUCGUGCUUCCAUUUCAUUCUAUGACAACAAUGUAAUUUCAACUUUUUACGUAUAAGGGUAUUAUAGUAAGAAAAUUCUAUGCAAAUUUUUUCAAGUUUAAUGCUAUAAUAGGAUGCUGUUAUACACAAAUCAGUAAAAGUAGAUUGAUGUUUCUUGCAUUUAAACCAAUAUUGAUGUAUGCUGUUCCUCUUAUUUUAGAAGUAAAGUGUGUGGAUGUUCCUUUGAAGAAGAAGAAGAUGGUUUUUUUACGAGGGUACUAUCUUUCACACCACCUUCUUAUCUUCUUCUUCUAGCAACACCAUCGUUUCCUCCUUUCUUCUUUUUUCAUUAAUUCAUUCCCGGGCGUUCAAGAAUCCUCUGCGUUUCACUCUUCGUCUCUUAGGUAAGGUAACGUUCUUGAUUUUUUACCUUUUUGUGUGUGUAAUUGAUUUUGUUUUUGUUUUUGUUAGUUAUUUUCAACUAGGCCAAGAUUUUUCAGGUCUGUCUUCAUUACUGGAUUCAUCGGGAUAUUGGGUUGUACCUUUAUGCUUUGUAGUUGUAUGACGUAUGGUUGCGAUGUCAGCUUGGUUCACCGUCAUCAUCGAUCAAGAAAAAGAGUACAAAUCUUUUCCCUCUGAUUUCCAGGUAGUGUCUUUGUUUGCUUAAUUGGUAGUAUUUGUUCAAUAAUAACGUGACGUGUUUUAGGCCAAGUGCAUGGUAAACUUUUUAUGUCAUGAAACUGUUUUUUCUUCUUCUUCUAAGCAUGCGUCAUCAUUGCUAAAAGGAUCAACGACUAUACCCAAGGAUCUACUAGAACUAUACCAAAGGUAACCUCAUCCCUCAAACAAAUAUGAUUGGCCAACAAGUGGUGAUGUCGGUAAAAUUUAAAUAGUUUUGAAACCCAAAAAAGUAAUGUUUAGUUGUAGAUUGUUCUUUCUGUGCACUUUAGGUGUUUGAUGAAAUGUCUUGGUUAAGUUAAAAAGUUGUUUUGCUUUGUUUUUUCAGGUGAUGGAUUAAAUUAUGUAGAGAGAAGUAAAUAAUUACUAGCCAAAUUAAAAUAUCAAACAACUUAUUGAGUGGGCUAUUAGAGAUUCAACUAGGAAAAGAUAAUUUAUUGUUUGUAUUUUUAACUUAAUUAGGAAUAGAAGUGUCUUUUGGUUCUAUAUAAAAGCUUCAUGGAAAGUUGUGCAUUUCUGUUUAACUAAGUGAGGAUGAACUUGGCGAACCAACUACUGAAUAAUUUGCAUAUUUGAAACAGUUUAUGAGAUUCCAAGAUUUAUGGACACAAACCAAGUUGUUUGUUAUGAGAUUCCAAGAUUUUUGAAUGUCAUUGUGUGAUAUGUAGAUGAUAAGAAAAAGUUCAAGCUGUGUUUGAAUCAAAAAAUUGGAUCACAUGAGUUAAACUAAACCCAAAAGCAUGUUUGUUGUUUAAUUUUUUAAUGGAAGUUUUUGUAUUAUAAAGAAGAGACAGAUGCUUAGUUUUUUAAUGGAAGUUGUUUAAUGUCAUAUUUACUUUUUUCUUUCAAUGUUUAUAAGAUCAGAGUAUGUAUGUUUGAUGCUUAUGUAAUUAGUGUUUAAUAUCACAAACAACAUUUUUAUUGUUUUAUAAGAAAAUCAGUAAAGGAUUCCAAUUCCUUUGACAAAUUCUAUUGUUUUCAAAAAUAUUAUGUGAACCGCAUGUUCCCUUACAUUACUCUGAGGUUAAUUGCUAUUCUUUUUUGUAGUUCCUUUGACAAAUUCCAUUCAUUACUCUGCAACAAGAAAAGAUUUUAAAAACCAAAUAAAAAACUUUUGGUGGAGAAAAAGAAAGGAAAAUGCUUCCAUUGAUUCAAAAGUGUUAACAUGUACUUUUUAAUAAAACACUUGAUGCUUUUUAUAUGUCUUAUUUAAUUUUUUUCUGCUCAAAGAGGUACACUUUUUAUUUCCAUUGAAUGUCAAAAUACAUUGCUUUAUCCACUAAUUACAAGCUGACAAAGCCUGGAACCGAUAUGUAGGUGUACAUAAAUACCCUUCUGUUCCUAAAACCUAUUCUUUUUUAUUCAGGCCCCCCCCCCCUCUCUCUCUGUAGUUAGCUUUUAUAGUUUGUUCAUUAUAGCAUCGUACUUCCAUUUCAUUUUGUGACAACAUUGUAAUUUCAACUUUUUUACUUAUAAGGGCAUUACAUUAUGAAAAUUCUAUACAAAUUUUUUGAAGUACAAUGCUAUAAUAGGAUGCUGUAAUACACAAAUCAAUAAAAGUAGAUUGAUAUUUCUUGCAUUUAAAUCAAUAUUGAUGUAUGCUAUUCCUCUUGUUUUAGAAGUAAAGCGUGUGGAUGUUCCUGAGAUGAAGUAUAUACAUACAUCCGAUGAUGAAAACAAAUUUCUAUUUUAUAUCCCAACCAAAAAGGUGGAAGAUAGAGAUGUUCAUAGAGAUGUUCAUUCUGUUUCAGAAGCAACAACCAAGGCAAUGCACUUUGAUUACAUUCUACCUUUCAACUCUUUUCUUAUUUAGACAUUGCACUUUCUGUUUUUAAGAAAGUAUGGAUUUCAUCUACUUCUUUUUGGUGGCAGUUUUUGUUACCGGAUCAUAUCUUAAUACUUUCAUAGAU